Molecule: long non-coding RNA, 2166 nt
Filed under: Equus caballus (horse)
Lineage: Eukaryota; Metazoa; Chordata; Mammalia; Perissodactyla; Equidae
Description: lncRNA (ENSECAG00000049670.1)
Source: RNAcentral
GUCAUCUCUGUGUCCACACAUCCUGCCAUAUCUGAUUAAAACAAAUCCCGGCUACCUAAUUAAAACAGUAUGUCAUUGUGUGUCCCAUUUGUGGGCAUGCCCAUAACAACGACACACAGAGUCACUGGUCCCCUCAUGUGUGUUUAGACAACAUGUCACUUUGCAUCACAAAAACACCCAGUGAUGUCAGAGGCGCCGUGCAUCAUAAUGACGCUCCUGGUAUCCAAGAGACCUCAAUUCGCUGCUCAGUCACUGUCCCUGCGGUGAGAACUGGUGGCUGGAUCGGAGCCUCCAGCUGAAGGGAACCUGAUUACAUCUAGAUUGACCCCUAUUGUGUGACAGCUAAUGACCCAGUUAACCUCUGAAAUUACUUGCUCACCAGCCAGGGACCGACAUCUGGCAGAAGCCCAGGUCUGCUCCUCCGGCAGACGGGAGCCAGACAGCCAUACUCGGGCAAAUGCUCUGACAAAAAUGAACUAGAAGCCACAAUAAAGUCGUCAGAUGCUUGAACUUGGACAUCAAAUCCCAUUGAAUGAAGCGACAGAUGCAGACCUGCGACCACUGUGCUGUUUGGGAGCCGUUCAGAUGCCACGAGAGGCGUCGUCAUUGGUAACGCGUUUUAAAACUGGUGAACGACCCUCAUGAAGUCGUGAACAAAACAAAGCACCACCUCAAUUUACACCAUGGUUUCCUUCCUGAAAAACUCGGGAUAUUUUAAAACAGUGGGAAAAAAAUAUUUUUGUGUCUGUGUAAAAUGGAAUUUGGUUCUGGCUCAGGUCAUUUGAAGCAGCUUUUUCAUCUAUGUGAACAUCCAGAGGGGCAUUCAACAUUAGUGCCAGUGCCUGAAGAUCAAGUAGAGUGGUGGGCUGUGGAGGGCGAGCCCAGAAUCAGUCCCUGAGGCGGGUGUCGGUGUCCCGUUUCCAGACGGCGAAAUGAAGCCAGAGAGAGGAAGAAGUUCACCGAGGUCCCACAGCCGGAGAGGGACGAGGGGGGGCUUCAACGGGAUGCUAUUGGGAGGGAGGCCUGAAUCUAACUGCAGUGUGAUUUCCGGCCUUUUGGGUCACACCCCUGGGCAGACUCUGCAGCAGCCCAGCAAACCUUGCAGUCCCCAGCACGAGAAGGGUGGAUUCCAUCUCUGACUUUCCCCUGAAACUGAAGAGGAGGAACACCCUGAUCACCCAGCUGUUAGUAGACUGCCUGGACCCCCGGUCCUGACUUCGUGCGCCAGCCGCUUUGAGUCCGGCUGAUAAAGGCUCACGGGUGUCCCCUCCCCGAAGUACAGCCCUAGGCCAAAGGGGAGCUUCCUUGCCCAGGAGGUUAUAACCCUCAUGCACAUCCUAGCCAGAGAGAGUGACAGAGAGAGAAAAACGCCAGCCCCCUUGCCUCAAGUUGGGAUCAACUCCGGGAUACAGUUCAUGCUCUGGGGCUCUCCAUAUGGGAUCUCUCCCACAUGGGAUCAGGCUGAAAUUACUCUCCUUCCUUGCUUAGCUUUCUUCCCUUACCCUGUUCUGUACCUUCACUCCCUUUUCUUAGGAGCAUCUCCUCAAUAGAUCACGUGCAAAAGGUCUCCGUCAUAGGCUCUGCUUCUAGAGCACUGACCUAAUGUCGGGUCAAGAUGGAAACCAAAAGACCACUUAGGAGACAACGGCAAUAAUCAGGGUAUCCCAUCCAAAUGGCAGAUCGAAAGAUCACUUACUGGGAAGUCAAAGAACAUGGAUUCCAGUCUUGUGUCUACAACGAGCUCUCUGGAUAACGUUGAAUGAGUCCCAUCCCGUCCCCGGGCCUCAGUUUCCUCAUCUGUCACCCACCAGAAGAAACCAUGUGGUUUGUGCUGAGCAUCUGCUUUCCUUCUGCGUGUCUGGAAUCUUGGCUGAGCAGAGGACACCUACAUGACCAGCCCCCAGCAAAUGCCAUGGGCUCUGAGUCUCUAAGGAGCUUCCCUGGUAGACAACACUUCCCACCUGUUGGGUCUCCCUGCGCCCUGCACCCCACAGCUCAAGCUGCGCUUCCACACUACAGCACCUUCUUCUGGGACCUGAACCACGGCCGACGAAGUCAAACAUGAUGGCAGGACGGAACAGAGGCCGAUGAGCUUUUGUGCAAGGGCCAGAUGGUAAGUGUUCUAGGUUCUGCGGGUACCCAGUCUCUGUCACAACUACUCAGCUG